Corapipo altera (White-ruffed manakin) is the source of this 5258-nucleotide RNA transcript. It is a transcript of the gene named M-phase phosphoprotein 9, with no coding region annotated. The record is from RefSeq and is a predicted model, not a curated record. The transcript has 24 exons. Lineage: Eukaryota; Metazoa; Chordata; Aves; Passeriformes; Pipridae.
GGGCAGGGGGCACGGGCUGAAGGGAGGCGGUCCCGGGGGCGUAGACGUGGCGAGAGGGGUCCCCGCGGGGGCUGAGCCCUUGAGGCCGGGGCCGUUCCUGAGGACAUCGCGGCGCUGCAGCCCCGGCUCCUUGUCCUGCCGCGGGGUCCCGCAGAAGGUUCUUGGGGACGCGGGGCCUGGCGGCGAGGGUGCUCCGAGGAGCCCUGAGGGACCUGCUCGGGAUCGGAAGGGAGCGGGUCUGGCUCGGGGGGCGAUGCGGAACCUCCCGGGCUCCGGGGCUGUGCCGGCCCCGGCGCUUGCGGCGAAACCGGCGCUGAUAUUUCAGAGUUAAAACACCUCACGGGUUGUUUUUUUUCCGAGCCUGCCCCUUUAUGCAGCGACGUGGCCGUAUAAGGACCGUGCUCUGCUGCGAAGUCGAGGGAUGGCGGCUCAGCGCUCCCGCAGCCCCGUUAUAGCUCACUAAAUAUUGUUUUUAUUGCGAACAGACUUGUAAUGAGGUUAUGAAACGAGCCUGUGUCACAGCUAAGUCCCACCCAUUGCUGUGCUGCUGAGAUAGGCCGCCCAUGGUUCCAUCCUGGGGGGGAACUGAUCCCACAUCCAGCUGCUCCAGAGGCACUCCCAGCAUCAGCUUUAGCUGCCAAGUCUGAUAACCUCCAAGUUUUCCAGACUUCUGACCGCUAGAAAAAGAAGAAAGGCGCUUUUCUUGUUGUUUUUUUUUUCUCCUUCUUUAUCCCAAGAAGCUCUGCCAAAGGGAUAUGUGUGUCUCUGGUAACUCCCUUUGAAUUCUGGCGUUUUCAGCCCUACCCAGAGGAGAUGGUGUGAGGUAACGUACUUGGGACCAAGAUAUGGAAAACUGGGAUGUGGUGAAUUCUGUACAGGAAAUCCCUUCGUCUUCUGCAGACUCUGAUGUCAGAGACACCCACAGCUCUGUCUGUAACUUGAACUGUAACAGAAGUCCUUCAUCCAAUCCCAAUGGAGUUUCUGGUUACUCAGGGAAUACCAGGUCCUCAUUAAAGCCUGGUUCUGUUGAACUGUUUGCCUCCUUUAUGCAAGACAUCCAGGCCAUUGGAAAUGCUGACACGGAAAUUGUGAAGAACUGUGAGACAAGGUGGCUACAGCUGCUGAGACUGGUAGAAAAGCAAUGUCAGCAACAAAUAGUUGCCCAGCAAGAGCAGUUCCACCAUCAAAUCCAACUGAUUCAGGCUGAGAUCAGGCAGCUGGUGAAGUUUGGGAGCAGCAGUUGGGGAGCCGGCAGGAGCCGGGGUUUGCCUGCCACGCUUCCAGACACUUUUCCACCACUAACAAUUCCAAUGGGGAUGCGAUCUGAGCUCUUGGAGGAACACGAGAGCAUUGUCCAUCAGCUCAGAUCCAAUGAAGCAGAAAGCCAGCCCAGAGCAUCCGACCUGCAGCAGGAAUGUUGCGGCAGCGACGCGUCCAUGAACAGCGGGUAUGGAACGCUCUCCACCUCCGAGCUGAACCCUGACACGGCCAACAGCACCAGCAGGGCCACAGAUUCCAUGGAGAAAACUUCCCAGGGACACGGGGAUGGAGCAGGGUUGCAGAGUGAUGCAAUUGUAGCCAGUGUUCAAAAUAAAACAGAACUUUUACCGAGAAGAAUAGAGGAAAAUCGUUCACCGGGAAGGAACAACAUUUUAGUUUUUCCUGCCGAAUUUGAGCAUAAAGUUGAUGAAGCUCCAUGUGGGAAGAAACCCAGUAAAUCUUUAACGUCGUGGGCACAAAAGUUGAAACAAAACCAACCAAAAAGGAUAACUGCAGAUGAAGUGUGUGUGAACUCUAUGCAAGAAAAUGAGAAAGUGAAGAAAUCACCACUUGAGAAUACAAACCUUACUGAUGCUGCUUUGCCACCUUACACUUUUUACCUCAACCAACCGAAGGAAAGUCCCAAUUCCUUGGUGUCUGAAGCUUCAGGACUUUCAUACUGGAAGUUAGAUGAAAAGGAGAUGUAUCACACUCUACCAGAGAAUUUCAGAAGUGAGUUUGCUGAUGUUUUCUCCACAAAAGUAUCACCAGAUCAGUUGUCUUCUGCUGAGGAAAUGAAGUUGUCAUCCCUGAAGGAUAUUUAUCAUAAAAGACAAAGGGAAAACAAGCAGAUGCCAGACCAGAAUGUUUUGCCUUCUUCCCAGUCAAGUCACCCACCAGAGAUCUUGACGUUGGACCCAACCCUGCACAUGAAACCAGGUCAGCAGAACCAGGGACGCUGUUUUUUCAAUAUUCCUGAAGAGAUUACUCCCUUUUCUCCAGACUCCAUGGCAGAGCCAGGAUUUUCAAGUCAUUGUGACACAGACUCUUUUUCACAGACAAGUCGUUCUUCUCAGUUAGAUGAUUCUCCCAGACACCCUGCCAGCAGCAGAGCUGUGCACUUGGACUUCUGGAGAAAUCACCUGUUCCAAAGUGAAAACAGGAGCAGCUCCCCUUUUCCAAAGGCAUACAGGGAUGCUGACCAUGAUAGUUCAGUCAGUGCUGAGGAGGAAGAAACACUGACUUUAACUCCAUCCUCUGUUACUCAGUGUGCUGACAACACUUUGCCAGAUUACAGCCUUUCAGUAGCACCUGUUGAAGACCCUGUGCUAAUGUCACAGAUUAGGCAGAACCUGAGGGAGAAACACGCUCGACACAUCGCUGAUCUCCGAGCUUACUAUGACUCGGAGAUCCAGAGCUUAAAGCAGCAGCUGGAGGCAAGUCAGAGAACUGCUUCUGCUGAGGACCUGAAGAAAAUCAAUCAAAGUCUUGCUGACAGGUGUGAGCAGUUGGAUGCAGCUCUGAACGAAGCCAGUGCUCGCAUAAAAGCCCUGGAAAAUAAGAAUAAUCUGCUGGAAAAGCAAGUGGCAGAGUGGAGGGAGCGUUUCCAGGCCCUCAGCAGCACUUCCAAGGUUCUGCAGGAGCGGAUCGAGGAGAUGCGGACGACCCACAAGGAGAAGGACAACACCAUCAGCCGCCUGCAGUCCAGGCUCAAGGAGCUGGAGGAAGCUUUUGAGAAGGCCUACAAGUUAUCUGAUAAUAAAAACACGAGGCUAAAGGAAGAAAACAAAAUGUUUCAGAAUCUUUUAGGAGAGUACGAGUCCCUUGGAAAAGAACAUGAAAGAGUAAAGGAUACAUUAAAUACAACUGAGAACAAAUUGCUUGAUGCAAACACACAGAUUUCUGAUUUAAAAAGGACAAUUUUAAAACUUGAAGCUCAGCUCAAGCAGGUGGAACAUGAAAAUAUGUUGAAACUUCGCCACAUCACCGAGAACCGUUUGAGAACCUCUUGUGCCAACAAGUUGGGAACUCCUGAUGUCAGCAGGAGAAAGUGGCUGAUACCAGGAGCUGAAUAUUCCAUCUUCACUGGCCAGCCUUUGGAAGGCCAGGAAAGCCCCAAAGAUAACAGAUUAGAAGAAAACUAUAUUCCUCCCAGGUAUCACUCUCCUCCUGAAAAAGAUUCUUCACAGGAAGACUCUUCAACAAACACAAUAGAAAAGAAAGAAAAUGAGAUGUCAGAAGCACCAAUUAUAAAAGCCUUUAAAGAACUUGAAGAAGGGAAAGUAUUUAAAGACUGGGGGACACAGACAGACAAAGAAGACGCACCAGCCAAAACAUCAAAUCGACGUCAGACUGUUGGGUUUGUUGAAGCUUCUUUAGUUGCCACCCCGGAGAAAGGGAAGGACCAACACAGACCCAAAAGGUUCAGCUCCCCUUCGGGCCAGAGGUCAUCAUCCCUUCCUCCUUCCAACAGGAAACCCAACACUCCAAAAGAGAGAUAAUGUUGGCACCAGUGUCUGUGACAUACAGCCCAAAACGAUCUCCAAAAGAAAACCUCUCCCCUGGAUUCAGCCAUUUGCUUGGCAGAAAUGAAAACACAGUGACAAGGUUUGAUAUACUUCUAGAUGACCUGGAAGCUGGUGCUACAUCUACUUUACAGCACAAUAACCCAAGGAAAAGGCUCCAGUUUCUCUCACUAGAUGAUGCAGAAGGAAGGCAGCAUUCAGGUGUCAGGCACAGCUCUUGUGCUGAAUCCAUCAACAGCGGGCUGAAGAAGGCGGCAGCUUGGGACGAGAGGAGCACAGCUCAAAAAUAUGAGCCAGUGGCAUCACCUGGGGAGGAGGACUUCAAAUACACAGCAAGGAUCACGACUCUGGCUGAAACAGAGAGGCUUUUUGAUGAGCUGACUCAAGAAAAGCAACAGAUUGAGGCUGCACUGAGUCGAAUACCUUGUUCUGGUGGAAGAAUGACCUUGCAAGCAAGACUGAAUCAGGAAGCCCUGGAAGAUCGUUUGGAAAGAAUUAAUAGGGAUUUGGGGUUGAUAAGAAUGACUCUGAAAAGAUUCCAUGUUUUACGGACCUCUGCCAAUCUCUGACAGUUCUCUCCUGACUGCAAAUAUACUCUUUUCCCUUUGGUUUUUUUUUUUUUGCACUAAUAUAUAAUUAUGCACUCAGUAAAUGCAAAUUGUUUUGUAUUUUUAUAAGCCCUCAAAAGUAGUUUUACAACCAUGUUACCCUUUACAAACAGCAAUAUUUUGUACUUGGAACAGCAACCUCUAUUUUAAACAUAUUUUUAUUACACCUGAGAAAUCAAUGUUUAUCCUGUAUUGUAAUAUUUUUAGAAAUAUUAAUUAUUUUUAAAUAGUGAUAUUGAAUUUAUAAUAAGAAUAAGAAACUAAAAGGCAGCUUGUUUUCAGGAAAUGAUAGUGUUACCCUUUUGCACUUGGUUUUCCUCCACUGUUUUAUAAAUAUUUAGGGUGUGAUGUAAAUAUUAGCCAAGAGGAGAUUUUGAACUUUAAUACAAAAAGCAACAUGAGUUACCUGUGUUAAAGAGAACUGCUGUUCUGUGGUAAAUCCUUUCAGCUGAACCCUUUAACAUGGAUAUUUUUCAUUGUGACAGAACUGUGAGCAAUACUUUCACUAUGGCUGUGGUAGGAAAAUACUGCUCUGAAUUCCCUGAUGUCUCCAGCAGUCACAGUGAGUAGUGUUUGAUACUGUGAGUACCAGGAUUCACCUGACAGCAGCCUCCCUGUCUCCCAGUGAACAGCUCAGCUCCAGCUGACUCUCCAGGACUGGAACUCCUUCCCUGAAGUUACUGGUUUCCUGUGCCAGGCUGGGUUUCGUACCAGUGUUCCCAUUGUGAACAUUUCAUGUAUUUGUGGACAGAAAUGCAUUUUUCUUGGUGAAAAAUCCAGAUUUGCCAGUUGACAUGUUGCUGCAUUACCGUCCAACAUUGAUACUUUGGUUUGUAUUUUAAUAUUAAAUAAAUGUUUAAUUAGA